GACGAACGCUGGCGGCGUGCUUAACACAUGCCAGUCGAACGGAAAGGCCCUGCUUUUGUGGGGUGCUCGAGUGGCGAACGGGUGAGUAACACGUGAGUAACCUGCCCUUGACUUUGGGAUAACUUCAGGAAACUGGGGCUAAUACCGGAUAGGAGCUCCUGCUGCAUGGUGGGGGUUGGAAAGUUUCGGCGGUUGGGGAUGGACUCGCGGCUUAUCAGCUUGUUGGUGGGGUAGUGGCUUACCAAGGCUUUGACGGGUAGCCGGCCUGAGAGGGUGACCGGCACCAUUGGAACGGAGAUACGGCCCGGCCCCCUACGGGGGGAAGCAGGGGGGAAUAUUGAACAAGGGGCGGAGGCCUGAUGCAGCACCCCCGCGUGCGGGAGGACGGCCUUCGGGUUGUAACCCGCUUUCGCCUGUGACGAAGCGUGGGUGCCGUAAAUGGGUAAGGAAGCACCGCCAACCUACGU
This 467-nucleotide ribosomal RNA is filed under the name uncultured bacterium. RNAcentral's name for it is "partial 16S ribosomal RNA". It matches the Rfam family "Bacterial small subunit ribosomal RNA", at positions 28 to 506 of the family's 1533-position model. The record is from RNAcentral.